This 982-nucleotide ribosomal RNA is filed under the name Staphylococcus hominis. RNAcentral describes it as "bacterial LSU rRNA". It matches the Rfam family "Bacterial large subunit ribosomal RNA", at positions 1 to 976 of the family's 2925-position model. Lineage: Bacteria; Bacillati; Bacillota; Bacilli; Caryophanales; Staphylococcaceae. The record is from RNAcentral.
UUAGAUUAAGUUAUUAAGGGCGCACGGUGGAUGCCUUGGCACUAGAAGCCGAUGAAGGACGUUACUAACGACGAUAUGCUUUGGGUAGCUGUAAGUAAGCGUUGAUCCAGAGAUUUCCGAAUGGGGAAACCCAGCACAAGUUAUGUUGUGUUAUCGACAAGUGAAUUCAUAGCUUGUCAGAAGGCAGACCCGGAGAACUGAAACAUCUUAGUACCCGGAGGAAGAGAAAGAAAAUUCGAUUCCCUGAGUAGCGGCGAGCGAAACGGGAAGAGCCCAAACCAAUAAGCUUGCUUAUUGGGGUUGUAGGACACUCUAUACGGAGUUACAAAGGAAUAUAUUAAACGAAUCAUCUGGAAAGUUGAAUCAAAGAAGGUAAUAAUCCUGUAGUUGAAAAUAUAUUCUCUCUUGAGUGGAUCCUGAGUACGACGGAGCACGUGAAAUUCCGUCGGAAUCUGGGAGGACCAUCUCCUAAGGCUAAAUACUCUCUAGUGACCGAUAGUGAACCAGUACCGUGAGGGAAAGGUGAAAAGUACCCCGGAAGGGGAGUGAAAGAGAACUUGAAACCGUGUGCUUACAAGUAGUCAGAGCCCGUUAAUGGGUGAUGGCGUGCCUUUUGUAGAAUGAACCGGCGAGUUACGAUCUGAUGCAAGGUUAAGCAGAAAAUGUGGAGCCGUAGCGAAAGCGAGUCUGAAUAGGGCGUAUAGUAUUUGGUCGUAGACCCGAAACCAGGUGAUCUACCCAUGGUCAGGUUGAAGUUCAGGUAACACUGAAUGGAGGACCGAACCGACUUACGUUGAAAAGUGAGCGGAUGAACUGUGGGUAGCGGAGAAAUUCCAAUCGAACUUGGAGAUAGCUGGUUCUCUCCGAAAUAGCUUUAGGGCUAGCCUCAAGUGAUGAUUAUUGGAGGUAGAGCACUGUUUGGACGAGGGGCCCCUCUCGGGUUACCGAAUUCAGACAAACUCCGAAUGCCAAUUAAUUUAAC